UACGUAGGUGGCAAGCGUUGUCCGGAAUUACUGGGUGUAAAGGGCGUGUAGGCGGGACUGCAAGUCAGAUGUGAAAUUCCCGGGCUCAACCUGGGGGCUGCAUCUGAAACUGUGGUUCUUGAGUACUGGAGAGGAAAGCGGAAUUCCUAGUGUAGCGGUGAAAUGCGUAGAUAUUAGGAGGAACACCAGUGGCGAAGGCGGCUUUCUGGACAGUAACUGACGCUGAGGAGCGAAAGCGUGGGGAGCAAACAGG
RNAcentral lists this ribosomal RNA (253 nucleotides) under uncultured bacterium. RNAcentral describes it as "partial 16S ribosomal RNA". It matches the Rfam family "Bacterial small subunit ribosomal RNA", at positions 524 to 776 of the family's 1533-position model. The record is from RNAcentral.